This 85-nucleotide transfer RNA is filed under the name Burkholderiales bacterium. Its description in RNAcentral is "tRNA-Leu". It matches the Rfam family "tRNA". Rfam says of the family: Transfer RNA (tRNA) molecules are approximately 80 nucleotides in length. RNAcentral also lists the same sequence under 5 other names. The record is from RNAcentral. Lineage: Bacteria; Pseudomonadati; Pseudomonadota; Betaproteobacteria; Burkholderiales.
GCCGACGUGGUGGAAUUGGUAGACACGCCGUCUUGAGGGGGCGGUGGCGAAAGCCGUGAGAGUUCGAGUCUCUCCGUCGGCACCA